This 666-nucleotide unclassified non-coding RNA is filed under the name Hevea brasiliensis (rubber tree). The record is from RNAcentral. Lineage: Eukaryota; Viridiplantae; Streptophyta; Magnoliopsida; Malpighiales; Euphorbiaceae.
GGGAUGAAAUGGUUGAGGAUCUCUCAAGGGUUUAUUUGAUUCUGCUGUUUAAUGCUUGCUUCUGCUUUGUGUGUAUAGUUUGCGUUUCUAUUUGACUGGGUUUCUUGUUUGUUAUGUUUUGUGGGCAUGUACGGUUUGGUCCUGGCUGCAUUUGUGUUCGGAAAAUCAGAGGCGAAUUCUGUUUUUCUGCUCAUUGAUGGCUGGAAGGGUAUAGAGCGAGUGGAAUGCUUAUCAAUCGAAGUUAUCGUCGCCCUCUAUACUCCAACGGAGCGGAUUGCUUCUUCUUGGUUCUGACGACCUCUGGUUUCUCACCUCUUUGGUCUAAAGCCAUGGAUCUCUGUUCUUGUUGGUUUAUGGAUUCUUUCCUAGCUCGUCAUCGUGGAUGGUCUCUAUGGGUCUCUCUAUCCAGUUACAGUUUAUUUGGCCAUGUCCUCUUCUCGUCGUUCAGCAGUUCCAGUGAUAGUGGCUGUGGAGGCGAUGACGAUGCUAAAUCUCAGUCCUAGAUAGAUUUGAGCUUGGGCCUGUAAAAGCUGGGUUUAGAAUCUCUUUAUUAGAUUUUUGGGUGGGCUUUUUUAUGGGUUGAGUUUCAGUUUGGAAGGCCUGUUAUAUCAAGCUUGUUAUUUCAGUCAUUUGUAUUUAGGCCUUAGCCUAUGUUUUGUUUCAGUG